This 110-nucleotide non-coding RNA is filed under the name unclassified sequences. The record is from RNAcentral.
UCAGCCCUAGGUCAAGUCAAGGGGCAGGGCGGUCAUCCAGGGUAAGACCUCCCAUAAGGGGGGCGCCGCUCCUGUUCCGCUUCCAAUUGGGCUUGGUCUAGGGUGGAGGA